Molecule: ribosomal RNA, 547 nt
Filed under: Doetes sp. ARC0906
Lineage: Eukaryota; Metazoa; Arthropoda; Insecta; Coleoptera; Curculionidae
Description: partial 16S ribosomal RNA
Rfam family: Archaeal large subunit ribosomal RNA
Source: RNAcentral
GGCCUAUCGAUUAUAAUUUUAGGUCGGGCCUGCCCAAUGACGUAGAGUUAAAUGGCCGCGGUACUUUGACCGUGCAAAGGUAGCAUAAUCAUUAGUUUUUUAAUUGAAAGCUUGUAUGAAAGGUUUGAUGAGAAAAUUACUGUCUCUGUUUAAAUUUUUUAGAAUUUUAUUUUUAAGUAAAAAAGCUUAAAUGUUUAUAGAAGACGAGAAGACCCUAUAGAGUUUUAUAGUCUUAAGAAUUAAAGUGUUUUAGUAUUUUAAGUUUGUUUUUUAAGACUAUUUGAUUGGGGUGAUAGAAAAAUUUGAUGAACUUUUUUUGUAUUGAAACAUUGAUUUAUGAAUAUUUGAUCCUUAGAUAAAGAUUAAAAGAAUAAAUUACCUUAGGGAUAACAGCGUAAUUUUUCUUUAGAGUUCUGAUUGAAAGAAAAGGUUGCGACCUCGAUGUUGGAUUAAAAUAAAAAAUUGGUGUAGGAGCUAAUUGAUUGGGUCUGUUCGACCUUUAAAAUUUUACAUGAUCUGAGUUUAAACCGGCGUAAGCCAGGUCGGU